GUUAUCCACUAUUUCUUGUCAAACGGAGCCUAAGGGACACAAAAAAAUGAUAAAGGGUCGAAUAAUUUGAUUCACAUAAGAAGUUAGAUCUUACCAAAGACAGUAUUGGUUGGGUUGCAAGCAGCCAUAUUGAAAGCAUAAUCACCGAUCAUCCUUUGAGAAUCAGUGAAGGCAACAUAAGAAGGUGUUGUUCUGUUUCCUUGGUCGUUCACUAUGAUCUCUACCUUAUCAUUCCUACACACUGCAACACAUGAAUAUGUUGUUCCUAGGUCGAUUCCUAUUGCAAAUUUCUUACUUGUUCCUGUCAUUUCUCUCUUCUAAAAGCCAAACUAUGUUUUGAGAUGGAAUAUGCUUUUUUUGUUUUUUUUUUCUUUUGGAAGGUUUUGAGCAUAUAUAUAUAUAUAUAUACUUGGUUAGUUUGACUCAAAUACGUGUUUGAAUGAGUCAAAAAUACUUUGUUUAGUUUUGAGUGAAUUAGUCAAUCAAAAAUAAUUGAGUUUAGUUUUGAGUUUUGACUGUUUUGGAUGAAAUGUGUCGGCUCCUAUACAAGUGAACUACUAUAAACAAAACUUUUAAUCGAAGACAUUAUAUUUGAACAUGUAUCGAUACUCUGUUAAGGUGUAUCAUUCUAAUAGAUCAGUAGUAUUUAAUAUAGAAAAAUUAAUAAUUACUAUUUUUGAAUCUAUCACAAUUACUGUAAAAAAAAAAAAAAACUAUAACAAUUGUUCACAUCAACAAGUGUACCGGUGGUUGUACGAAUUAAAUAAAAUGUGUAUAAAAAAUUUCAUCUAAAUUAAAAUUUGACUCUGGUCAUCACACAUCAUUCCAAUUAAUAGCUUUUUGGAUUAAAUGUUUUGNNNNNNNNNNNNNNNNNNNNNNNNNNNNNNNNNNNNNNNNNNNNNNNNNNNNNNNNNNNNNNNNNNNNNNNNNNNNNNNNNNNNNNNNNNNNNNNNNNNNNNNNNNNNNNNNNNNNNNNNNNNNNNNNNNNNNNNNNNNNNNNNNNNNNNNNNNNNNNNNNNNNNNNAAUGUGUAUAAAAAAUUUCAUCUAAAUUAAAAUUUGACUCUAGUCAUCACACAUCAUUCCAAUUAAUAGCUUUUUGGAUUAAAUGUUUUGGGUCUCUAUAAAUUGGGACAAUUAUAACUUAUGACUUUUACUUGUGGUGAUCUAAUCUAAAAAAUAUGUUGGGGCAUGUCAUUGAGUAGUAGGUAUGAAUUUCACCAAUUAAAUCUCAUCCAAGCNNNNNNNNNNNNNNNNNNNNNNNNNNNNNNNNNNNNNNNNNNNNNNNNNNNNNNNNNNNNNNNNGUUUACCAAUUAAAUCUCAUCCAAGCACAUAAUCCAGCGGCAUCUAAUAAAAUUGUUUUGGUCUUUUUGGCCUAACAACUUCUAAAAUUGCCACCGACACUACAAGCAUUAUUACAGCAUAAAAAUGAGAAAUGGGUCAAUCUGUUAGAUUUUUUCAAUUGAGAUUUUUAGGAUUUUGAAACAAAACAGGAGAUGAUAUUUUGUUAAUGAAUGAAAAAGUUGAAGAACUUCAAUCUGUUCUUAAAAUGAAAAAAGUUGGUGAUUCAGAAAUGAAAAACUAUGUUACCGAUCGAUUAUUGGAGUUUGAGAAGCAUAUGAGAAAAGAAGCACAAAAUCCUUCUUUUGUUGAAAAAUGGGUUGGUUCUAAACGCAUAAUAAUCAAAAUUUGUACCAAAAAUAUUUUCUAAAUAUUUUCUAAAGUAGUCCGGUUUAGAAAUUUGAAUACACGACAAUUUAGAAUGCAUUUUGCAAACCGGAACACUAAUUUCUUUUGACUAAGCAAACCGGAACACUAACGUAUACAUACCGGAACACUUGCUGCAGGGGUGAGCGAAAAAGUUGAAAAGAAGAGUGAAAAAAUAAAGUGUAAAAAGUUAAAUGCGAAAGGAUAAAAUUGGAGUAUUGAAUAAGUUGUAGGGGUGAAGGUAUAAUUGUUGGGAUAGAAAAAAAAAAAUUCCUGUUUAGUAUUCAACCCGGUCCAACCCAUCCUCGAAAAUAAGUGUAUUUACUCAACCCAGUCCAAUAACUACUUGACGUAAUCCGAAAUACCUUAUGUGAUUUAGAUUUUAAUUUUCGCCAUCUAACACAAUCCGACUAUGUACACCCUUAAUUUCGGCCAUACCCACAAAAAUGCAAUAUCAACUUAUUAGAACAAACUGAUAAUUACAAUAUUUGUCAAAAAAAAUAAUAAAUUGAUAAUUACAAUAAAUGAAUGAUACCAUGUCCAAGUUUUCCUCAUUAGAUAAGUCAUCUAAAAUGCGAUAACAAUUCAAAUUCUAUCAUUAUAUAUAGUGUAGAUCUUUCCAUCCAAGUUUAAAAAACUACUUAUAUGAAUCACUUUUUUUCUUUUUUAAUAAUCAAAUUUUAUUAGAUAACUCAACACCAAGUACUUAGAUAACAGAACAAAAGUACAACCAAAGUUACACACACUACUCAAACAAAAGCAUAACAUAAAAACAAUAGUGCCAUUAGAAAGUACCUAAAUACUAUUAAUCUUAGUGAAAUUAACCUAACCCAAAGUAGUAUUAAUCAAGCAAACUUAAAACAUUCUUGUUCUCUUUAGUAAAUUCUUGUUUAUCCUCCUCUACCUUCAAUUGAGCUUCCUCAUCCUCCACCUUUUCCUUUGCUUUCUUCUCUGCCUUUUUCUUUGCAUUCUCAAGAGAUUGAAUCAAAUUCUUCAAGCAAGUUUCAAAAUCUUCACCGAUUGACUUUGGCAUCAAAUUUUCAGCAACAUCGGCGGGCGUUAUAUUAAUCUCUCCUAUCAUUUUUUCAAUAAUUGGAAACAACCCAUCAUGAGACUCAACAUUCCAAUAGUUCUUUGCAAGCACUUUGAAAGCUUCAUAGCUACAAUAUGACAUUUCAAUGUGCAUAUCCAUCCUUCCCCUCCUAAUAAGAGCAUGAUCAAGUUUUUCCACAAAGUUUGUUGUGAAAAUAAUGAUCCUUUCUCCUCCACACGCCGACCAAAUUCCAUCGAUACAAUUCAAUAAACCCGAAAGCGUUACUUUACUUUCCACCGGACCAAAGUAUUUAGAAUUGUAAACAAGAUCCUUUUUUUCCUUCCUUUUGCCAGUGAGAUCAAUAGAACAAUCAAUAUCCUCUAUCACUAUAAUUGAUUUGUUUGACGUCGCAAUCAAAAGUCUUUUCAACUCAUUGUUAUCGUUGAUAGUUGUUAAUUCAAGAUCAUACACAUCAUAGUUCAUGAAAUUCGCCAUAGCGGAUAUCAUGGUAGAUUUUCCGGUCCCAGGUGGACCGAAAAGUAAAUAACCACGUUUCCAAGCCUUUCCAACAUUAGCAUAGUACUCUUUACCCGUCUUGAACUUAAUAAGAUCAUCUAUGAUCUCUUCUUUCUUCUUUGGAUCCAUAGCAAGUGUUUCAAACCUUGCAGGGUGUUCAAAAGUAAUGGAACUCCACUUUUUUUUCGAUGAUUUCCACCAAUCUUCGCUCGGGUUGUUGGUGUAAAGCUUAAGCUUCCUAUUCUUCAUUGUAAUCAUUUUUCCUUCUUCCAACACAUGUUUUAUGUAAGAAGUAGUGAUGAGAUCGCGAUACCUUUUAUGGAACGUAAGUGUUAACCAUUUUUUCUCAUAUGAAUGAUCAUUUUGAGAGUUGUACUUUAAGUUAGCAACCCACCAAACCUUUACUCCAUUGAAUUCAUCGAUGAUCUCCUCAUUGUCACCUAGGGUAAGGACAAGUGGGGUUAGAUUAUUUUCGACAACUUCGGCAUUAAGCCUUUUGGCUCUUUCUAAUGAUUUUAGACUGAGAUAUGUUUUGAUACAUGUGUAAGCAUCAUUGCCCUGGAGAUGCUUUCUUGAUAUUUGAUCAGGAAAGUUUAUUUGAAUGUAAGGGGACAUAAAAUUUAUGAAUUUUUGUAAGUAUUUGGUAACAUAUCUAUGAAGUUGAUUUGUGAAGAAUUUCUCAAAUAUGCCAAACAGAAACAUUAUGCUAGACAUAAUUGACCAUAUUUUUUUCUUUCGGGAAAGUAUAUUUGAUUUUGAGCUUAGUGGUGACAAAUUUUUCCCCAUACCUUACUUUGAAAUGUUUACAAUGAACAAAUAAUAAAGAGGACUAUGCUUGUUCUGUUUAUUUCAUGGGGGUGUUGAAUACUUAUAGUAUAAAGAUUAAUAGGAAUAUAAAGAAUGAAAAAUAAGAAAUAAUUUCGUAUGAUAUUUAAUUUAACUAACUAUGAUCUCCUACUCUGUGACUUUUUCAAAGUUUGUUAUAACUUCAAAAAAUGUACUUCUUCUAUUUAGGAAACAUACAAAAAGUACCUAAAGAAAAAUCAUAAGCCUUCUCUUGUCCUUACAACUAAAAAUCUUGACCACUCAGCUCUAAAAUUUGACCAUUUCGUACUUGUACCUUGCAAAAUUGGUAUUUUAAUUAAGAUAUAUAGAAGGUCUAUUAAAUGAUGAUUAAUCAUUAGAAUACAAUUAAGUGAUAAAUGAUUCGUUUAAUGUUAAAAAACAAUUAAUAAGAAACCAGAAUAAGUUUUUUUGAAAAAAGUGGCCAAAAACACUCUGACUUUAAAUGGGCUCUCGCAAGUGGAUGGUGGUAUAUUAGUCUCGUCGAAUUAGUCGGUUGUAAUGCUGGAUAUCAAAUUUUAAAAUAAAAAGAUUAUGACUGCUCUAUGAUAGAGACAAAACUUCAUGUCUGUUGUGUGUUGAAAUCUCAAAUUUCUAUGUUAGAAAAUGGUUGUUGCUACUAUUGGAAGUGUGGGGCGCUUGAUAGGUUGCGCGAGGCACUUGCCCGUUUCUGUUUUUUAGGUUUUGCCUAUGGUGGAUGCACGUAGGCGUGACGUACGAGUGCGGGGCGUAGGGAGGGAGCUCAUGGCGCUAACCGGAGAAGCAAUAUAAAAAUUGUCUUUUUUCUUACAUUCUCUUAGGGAUGUGUCCUAGGCUUUUAGAGGGACAAAAGGAGGAAAUCUUUGGGAAAUCAUUGACCAAUGAUUCGGUGUGUUAUGGAUAAAAUCUCGGAUUGGGAAACAAAAUUGCAAACACCUUCGGUGUGUUUUGGAUAAAAUCUAGGAUUGUGCAAACACAUUGCACAUUGAUCCCUAAAAAUUUAUAAAUUGAUCCUUUAAAAUAUUAAAAAUUGCAAAUUGCUUUCAUAUUUUUCAAAUUUUAAAAGUGACCCAAAACUUUCUAAAUUUUUAAAAGUGGCCCAAUAUUUACGAUGAAAUCUCCUAUUACUCUAUCGAAACAUAAAUUUUAAAAUAAAGGUAAUUCAAAUGCCAUCAUUUAAAUUGCUUAAAAUUUCUAAUUAUUUCAUCCAAACACACUCUAGUUUCUUCCUUGGUUAGUAUAUAUCCCUUUUCACAAUUUUUAGGAAACCCCACAAUUUACAACAUAGAGAAAUUUAAGUGAGACCCACUCUACCCCUUGAUAAUUUGGGCGUAUUUACCCAACAACUAAUGAAAACAAGCAACAUGCUUUGCAUGUGGUUGUGCAAUCAUACGAGUCAAAUCAGAAUCGUCUAACAUUUGUUUUCUUUUAACAUAAACAAUAUUGUAACAUAUACACAAAAAGAUGCAAGAAAAAAUGAAUCAAUCAAACAAUAAAGGGGUCAGAUACAUCCAUAAUCACAGGGAUAAAGAUAGAGUACAAUAAAGAUACAUCCAUAAGAUACAGGGAUAAAUAUUUGCAAUUCAAUUUUUGUUAUGAAUAAUUAUUGGAUCAUAGGAUAAAGAUCAUAGAUGUGAAGAAGCCAAAAAGGAUUGAAUUUUGUGAAGUUGAAGAUUCCAGAUCAUGAGUAGAAGUGCUGAGAAUUGCAACAUCAUCAGGUUCAUCUUCUUCACAAUUUUCAGAACUGUUAACGAAAGCACAAUCUUCAUCUUCAUGCCUCGGGUAUCGCUUUGAUACCAUGUUAAGAAUCAUGGGAUCAUAGGGAUAAAGAUAGAGUACAUAUUCAUAAGAAUUCAUAUUGAAUGAAUAUAGAUUGAUAAAAGAAUAAUGAAAAUAGAGCAAUUUUGGAGAUUAACCAACUAAGCAACAAAUAAUCAACUCUAACAAACUAGUGGAAAUUUCAACUAACUAUCUAUAUUCUUAACAAUUUUCUCGAAGUCUUAUUAAUUAACAACAUAUAAUGCGAUGAUGCGUGUAAUAGGCUUUAAUUUACUGAAAUAAAAGAAAUAAGUCCAUUGUUUUAUAUCAUUGUUAACAACUAAUUAAUAAGGAUAUUAUACAUCUAUAAUCAUAUCCAACAAUUUAUCUUAUAGUUGACACUGUCACCACCUUAAAUAUGUAUUUGCCAAUACAAUUUGCAAGAAGUUUUAACUACAUAUUUUUAAAAAUCUCAACAAUUACAGAAGAAGCUGUGUUAACCAAGCUGUUUGUUGCAGCAGAAUACCCUAUCUCAAAAGCAUAUUUUGCUAAUAUAGAUGGCCAUCGUUUCUUUUUAUUAUCAACUGCAUAACCAACAACAGUACCGAGUUGCAAGCUAUCCCCCUCGUCGCUUACCAUCUUCACAAUAAUUGGAUCAAACACGUUUGAAAGAAGGCUUCUAUAAUAUUCAAAAUCAUGUUGUUCUGCAAUCACAUUGACAUCUAGCCACAUUAAGACCAAGUCAAUUACUUCAUUGAUCGCUUUCUUGUCUUCUUCGGAAAGCUUUGAGCUAAUCUCCCUGUCAUUUAUGGCAUUACUUAUGUUGUAUGCAUACUUCUCCAAUGCAUUUCUUGCUUCCACCUUCAUUCUAUAACUCUUGUCUUCAUCUUUGUACUUCUCAGCUUCUUUGAUCAUCCUCUCAAUUUCCUCCUUUGAAAGUCUUCCAUUGUCACUUAUUAUUUUAACCUUCUUGUUAACCCCGGACAAUUUUUCCGAGGUAGAGACGUGUAAGAUGCCAUCAUCAUCAAUUUGGAAGCUAAUCUUGAUUUGAGGAAGACCUGCCGGAGCUGGAGGAAUUUCCAACACAAAUUUUCCUAGCAAGUUGUUGUCUCUAGUUGUUUGCCUCUCACCCUCAUAAACAUGAAUUAGAAUAUUGGUUUGGUUGUUAAAAUGCGUCGUGAAUACGUGUUCCUUGUUUGUAGGAAUCAUGGUAUUCCUAGGAAUUAUUAUUCUCAUGAUCCCCCCAUGUGUUUCCAAUCCAAGGGACAAAGGAAUAACUUCCAUCAAAACUUGAACUUUUUCAUUGAAUUCCCCACUCNNNNNNNNNNNNNNNNNNNNNNNNNNNNNNNNNCUGCAGCACCAUAUGCAACCGCCUCAUCGGCAUUGAUUCUUUUGCAUAAUUCCUUGCCUUCAAAGACAUCACUCAAUAGUUGUUGCAGUUUUACAAUCCUUGUAGAGCCACCGACUAAGACAACAUCAUCAAUGCUACUCUUCUCCACACCGCUAUCUAUUAGACACUUUUCUACAAUCUCCAUGCACUUGUUGAAGUGAUUCUUGUUGAGUUCCUCAAACUUUGCGCGACUAAUUGGUGAGUAAAAAUCUAUACCUUGAUUUAAACAUUCUAUCUCAAUGGUAGUGUCAGUAUUGGAAGAAAGUAUCCUCUUUGCUUUCUCACAAGCCGACUUCAACCGCCUAAGAGCUCUUGGGUCUCUACUAAUAUCAAUUUUAUGCUUCCUCAAGAACUCCUUCACAAAAUGGUUCACCAUUGUAUUAUCAAAGUCCUGUCCUCCGAGGUGAGUGUCUCCGGCAUGGGCCUUAACUUUGAUAUCAUCUUUCUCAAAUGUGACAAUAGACACGUCCAAAGUACCACCACCUAAAUCAAAAAUGAAAACAUGCUUUCGUCCUUGAUUAAAUGGUUUCAUGCCAAGGCCAUAUGCAAUUGCUGCUGCAGUAGGCUCGUUGAUUAUUCGCAUAACAUUGAGGCCUGCAAUUUCACCUGCAUCUCUAGUAGCUUGACGUUGUGAGUUAUCAAAAUAAGCAGGAACUGUUAUAACAACAUCCUUCACUUUUGAUCCAAGGUAAGCUUCUGCUAUCUCACACAUUUUUGACAAUACCAUGGACGAGAUUUCCUCGGCAGCAAAUUGUUUUUCUUCUUCGUUGUAAUUGACAACAAUCAUGGGUUUGUCAUCGAUGCCACCAAUUACUUUAAAUGGCCAUAAUUUCAUAUCACUCUGAACUAUUGGGUCAGAAAAUUUCCUACCAAUUAGCCUCUUUGCAUCUACAAAACAAAAAAGAGUUGUGUACACGAUGAGAAAAUAGUGUUGAAUCAUUUCAUGAACUAAUCAUUUCUUUGCUUAUGAAUUAAUCCAAUUAUAUAAAAAUGACUAAAACCAUUUUUUACCAGCUCUCUACCAAUUUUUUAAAAAUUCAUCUCUUGAUGAUGACACCCUGUAACUACUUGAUUUGCAAUUUUCUAAAGAUUCAUGCAAUUUUGUCCCUUGAUUUGCAAAGGAAGAUGAUAACGCUGAAACAGAGGUUGAAGGUUCAUGGCUUGUUUUUACAUUCACAAUGAAACUGUAUUUUUACAUACAUUGUUUCUUCUUUGCAUUAUUAACAACUUGAUUUUCAGGACAACUAAAUGAUCAUAAAAUUUUGAUUAGCAUAGCUUUUCCCUGAAAAGUUUUGUGUGUUAAAUUUCUUGACUGAACAUGUGAUUACUCGAUGGUACCGAGCUUCAUAGUUGCUUCUUAAUUAUUCAGAAUAUACUGCAUAACGACGUUUUUGACCAAGAAAUAGUUGUUUAAUUUCAGGGUCUCUACAAAUCAGGAGUUUGAAGAGCUUGAUGUUUAUCAGUCUGCAGCUUUGUAGCCUUGCAACAUUGCUUUUAUUGCUGAUCAAUUUGACACCAACACAGAAAAUGGAAGGGGAAUUUGAGAGCUUCUAUAAUUGGUGGUACUUCACUUUUACCAUUACACUUGUAGCAUAGCACUCACUAGUUAGGUGGUCAUGAUUUAAAUCACAAUAGGCUUGACUACAUUAUAGGUUCCUUCAUUUAUCAAUAUUGUUCAUAAAGUAACAUCACGAGUGGUAAAACACCAUGGUUUGGUGGUCAUAAUUGAAAUCAUAUUAAGCUUGAAUACUAGAUGUGGAGAAGCUAUUGGACAUACUAGGCACUAGAUGAAAAGCAACUUAGAGCAACUUGAUCAUACUCUCAUGCUGCUAAUGUCUAAACUUGAGAAUUGAACUUUUAUUAUCUCAUGUUCAUGGAUAUAUGCUUGCAUUCGCAGACUUAGGUUAGUUCAAUUGAGGCUGCUCAACAAUAACUGAGAAUAAAGAUUACUUUAGUAAUACAUUCUUGUUUGAGAUAGUAGCUUAACUGGUUUCACAUGUGGCUUACUUUAAGGCUUCAUUUGGUUGAAGGUUUGAUGCUAAUAACUUGUCCUAUGUGUUCAAAUUGAUAAGGGUUACAUAUUUAUUUGAUUGCUUAUGACUUUUAUGUUUUUGUUUGUUAAAUUAUGUUUAAAAGGGUUGAAGAUUUGAACCAUUUUCUGCACUGAUUUGCUUUAUAUAUCUAAGCUCNNNNNNNNNNNNNNNNNNNNNNNNNNNNNNNNNNNNNNNNNNNNNNNNNNNNNNNNNNNNNNNNNNNNNNNNNNNNNNNNNNNNNNNNNNNNNNNNNNNNNNNNNNNNNNNNNNNNNNNNNNNNNNNNNNNNNNNNNNNNNNNNNNNNNNNNNNNNNNNNNNNNNNNNNNNNNNNNNNNNNNNNUGACUUUUAUGUUUUUGUUGUUAAAUUAUGUUUAAAAGGAUUGAAGAUUUGAACCAUUUUCUGCACUGAUUUGCUUUAUAUAUCUAAGCUCAGAUGAUACUCCAUCACCUAGCUCUUCUGUCACCAAGAAGAUUAUGGUUUUCAUUUUCCUUUGUCUUUUAGUGUUGGUUAUCUCUCUCUCUCUCUCUCUCUCUCUCUCUCUAACCCUUCCAAUUAGCCAUGAAAUAAUUUCGGUUUAAGGUUAACUAUAAAUUAGCUACAAAAUUAUUUCAUGGCUAAUUGGCCACUCAAUUCAUGCUCAUGUUUUAGCUAAACUCAUUUGCUAUAAAUUGGCUACGAAUUAGCUACUAAAUAGGUAACAUUUUUUAGAUGUUACUAACAAAACUUUCAAGUGUUACUAAACAUCUUUAGUAACAUGGGCUUUAUGCAACAUAUGUUCAAAUGUUUACUAAAUCUAAAUAGUAAUAAAAUGUUACUAAAUCUCAUAUUUGUUGUAUUUAGUGGGUGUGCAUUAGCAAAUCUCUCUCUCUAUAUAUAUAUANNNNNNNNNNNNNNNNNNNNNNNNNNNNNNNNNNNNNNNNNNNNNNNNNNNNNNNNNNNNNNNNNNNNNAUAUAUAUAUAUAUAUAUAUAUAUAUAUAUAUAUAUAUGAAACUGGAGAGAGUUUAUACUCCAUUCGUCUCAUUUUAUAAGAUCUCAUUUAACUAAAUACACUAUUCAUAUGUCUUGUUUUGACCGUAUUUUUCUAAAAAUAUAUAAAUGUAAAUAUUAUCAUAUAAGAUCUUGUUCGAUUUGUUUUUACAAAUAUUUUCAAAAUAUCAAAUUAUGCAUUGGUGUACGUGCACUAGUCAACUUGUUCUUAUAUUUUGAGACCGAGAGAGUAUGUAGAAUAACAAAGUUUAGAAGGAUUUACCAUAGACAGUGUUGGUCGGGUUGCAAACAGCCAUAUUGAAAGCAGAAUCACCAAUCAUCCUUUGAGAGUCAGUGAAGGCAACAUAAGAAGGUGUUAUUCUGUUCCCUUGAUCAUUCACUAUAAUCUCUACCUUAUCAUUCAUACACACUGCAACACAUGAAUAAGUUGUGCCAAGGUCAAUUCCUAUUGCCACUUUUUUACCAUUUUCAGACAUUUCAGAUCUCUUGCAAUAUUCACUCAGUUCAACCAAAUUUUGUGAAGGAAUAGAAAUACUAAAGAUGAGAAUAAACAGACACUCCAUUAAAUCCAUUUCAUAUAUCUCAUUUAGUUUGACUCAGUCGUGUUAGGGUGCUUGCCUAGUUGACUUAAUAUAGUCUCUCCGUCUCAAAAUAAAUGACCUAGUUGAUUACUGUCAUGUUUGUCAAUGUACGACUUUAGUCGUCAAUAUCUUAAAUUAUAUUUUAUUAAAAAUUAUAAAAAUUAUAUAUUUUAAAAAUAAUCAUCGAGACAAAUUAAACAAUAUCUCAUAUAGUAAUAUUUACAUUUAUAUAAUAGUAGAAAAAUAUGGUCAAAGUAGAUCAUAUAAAUAGUACAUAAAGUCAAAAAUAAGUUAUUUAUUUUGGGACGGAAUAUUUCAUACUCUUUUGGAUCAACUUGCAUGAUUAUAAUAUUAUAAUAUUAGUCCCAUCACUUUCAUAAACAGCUGGUUGAACACUAGGACCGUGUAUUCUAGUGUCGGGCAGGGGCAACCACGCAUUCUAAGUUUCGAUCAAAAUUAAAAGAUUUAAAUUUAAGUUGAAUAUUUUAAAUUGUAAAAUAAAAAUCAUCUUUUUAUUAAUGGUCAGAUCUUGAUCCAAAGGUGUCCAAUUCCUUGAAUGUGUGGCUUUGUCCAUGGUUGUGAAUCCAAUUUCGUGGAGCUAGCUCCGAUAUAGGACCGGUUGUUUCAAAAAAAAAAAACUAUUUUUUAUCUUACUUGUGUUUGUUUUAUAUUUUUUCAAAAAUUAUUUUAGUAAAACAAUCAUUUUUUUAUCAAAAUUCAUCUAUUUUCAAUAGUUUUUAUCAAAAUCCAUUUUUUUUAUCAUUCACCAUCUCUCAUCAUCUUAAAAAAAUGACUUGUAUACCCUUUAAUGACAUAUUUUGAUUCUAAUAUUAUGAGAAACGAGAACUAUUAAUAAUAACCGUAAGAUUUAAUUAUUAAAAGCAAGAACUAAUAUUAGAUAAUGACUUGUAUUAGAUAAUGACAAAAAAGACUUUAAGUGAGUCAUUAUCUCUCACCAUCCAAGAAAAGUAAAAGCAAGAGAAAAAGACAAAAAAUGAUUGGGCGAGAAAAAGUUGAUGACUCGGUGAAUUAAGAGAGAAGAGAGAAAUACUUGCUUAGACACAAACAUUUAAACACAAGAUUAAGUACACAUUCAUCAAUUAAAAAAAUUAAAAGAAAAAUAAAAUUAUCACAUCAAGUCAUAUCACUUUAACUAUUUUUUCUUUAUUUUCUUUUGUUUUUUGUGAGUGUGCCCAACAAAUAAUAUUUGGGUUUGUUCCCAAGCAAGUGUUUCUCGAGAGAAGAAGGGUAAAGUUAAGAGAGAAAGUGUGUGAAAAUUUAGGAGUUGAAAUAGCAAAAAGUUGAAAAAUAAGAAGAUAAAUUUGUGGUGAGUGGAUAGUAGAGCUAGUCAUGACUCAUGGGGGCUUAAUAACAAUAUUAAUAUAUGUAUUAAAGCAAAACUAUUAUUUUUGGUGGAGGCUUGAGCUCCCAAUGUGUUGUACCUGUAUCCGUCGUUGGCUGAGAGAGACUACAAUUAAUUUGCCAACCAAGAAAAAUGAAGGAAAAACUAGUUUCAAUUGAAAAUUUUAAUUGUGUGGGGGUGAGUGAUUUUGACCUUAUCAAGUUGUAAUUUGUAAAUAGUGUUUUUGCAAGUGGCGCUUGUCUCGUUGACAUUAGGCAGAUGCUCAUGUGAAGAGAUUCUACCGUACCCUUCUUGUUAUUGUUUAAUGGAAAUAUAAUUAGUUUAACUUUAUUCUGCUGAGCAUGGUUACUAGGCUACGUACUUGGUUGGAAAUUAAUCUUCAUCUAAGAGAGUCUUAUAAACUAUUAAUUUGUAUAUCAUUUUGUUAUCAUUGAAACAACCAUGAUAUGACACGGUGAAUAUAUAUAAAAUGAUCCAAGUAUUUUAUUUAAGGUAUUGUAUCAUCAAUUUAAUAUUGAGUUUUUUUUUUUUAAAAAAAAAAUAAUAUUAACAUAUAUGAGUUGCAUAAUUUUAUAUAUUAUAAGAGCAAAAUAUAUAUCUAUUGUAAAAAUAUUACAUAACAUUGUACGGAUUACUUACGAAUGAAACUCAAAGUAUUACUAGACACUCAUAUAUAUAGGAUAAGAUUGUUUCAUGUAAAUAUCACUAGAGGGCAUCCAAGCCCUGUAAAUAUUGAUUUUUUAUUUUUUUUUAUGAUUGAAGCCGUGAAAAAAACAAAAUGGAUUGUUUGAAUUUAAUGGGCAAAAAAUAUGACGAGAGAAGGUCCCCUUUUACAAUUAUUAUUAUUAUUAUCUUUCAAAAAUAUAAAAUUUACAACUAGGGACGGAACCAGAAAUAAUUAUUGAGGGUGGCGAAUUUUUUUUUCUUUGAUAAAACUCUUCUACAAUUUCUUCAAUAGUAAAUGUUUUUGCAAAUACAUCUAUACUAUCUCUUUCGUUAGUAAUUUUAUAGAUUAAUAACAUGACCAACAAAAAAUAUAUUUGAGAACUAAGUUGAUUAUUAUUUAAAAAAGAUUUGACGAUGACUAAAAUAAUUAAUAAAAGAGACAUUUUUUAACAUUUUUACAAUUUCAAUACAUUUAAAAAUCAAUGUCAUUGGUCCACAAAUCCUAGCUCAACUGACAGAAAUGCUUAAAUUACUAUUGUCGGACAUCGGGACAACCCCAGUUACUUCACUGUGUGUGUGUGAGUUUUCAAAGACUUUGUCAUUUCGUCUAUCAAAAAAAAAAUGUCAUUGUGAAUUACUAUAUUUUAAGACUAAAAUAGUGGUUUAUCUAAAUAUACAAAAUAUAAAUAGUAGUACAUUAUAGUAGUUAUUAAUUUAUUAUAUGAUAAAAAGGUAUAUGAUGCAAGUAUUUACAUAGAGCCAUAUGGUGGGUGGCGAACCAUAUACAUACAUAGGAGGUACGUGUAUUCCUACCAAUUAAAGAGUAGCGGUCGCCCCUUUUAGUCUAUACGUAGUUCCGUCCCUGUUUACAACUAAGAUAUUGAGCUCAAUUAGUUAUUAAAUUUCACCAAAGUAUAGAUUAUUUGAAAGAACUUAAAGAUUCAAUUUUUAAGUAGAACCACUAUUUAUUUUCAAAAAAAAAGAAGUAGAACCACUAUUUUUGUCGAAUUUUCAUACCUUGUAGUCGAAUAUAUAUGAAUUAUUAAGAUCUCUUUCCCUACAAAUCUGAGAAUUAAUAUAUAAAAAAUUGAGCUAAUCUCUUUAGGCUGGUAGCUGAGUUUAUUAUGAAAUCUCAAGUUGUUCAGAAAACAAAUAUUUUAAAGAAUAGAAAAUAUCAUUUUACUACAUAUGGUCAAUAGUCAAGGACCUUCUAACACACAAAGACACUCAAGUAUCGUUUGGCCCAAUUUAUUUAGGACUUAUUUUUUAUUUUAAGGAGAAGUCAUACCAAACACAAUUUAAGAGAAGUUCUAUUAAAAUAUAAGUACUUUAUUUCAGGCACAGAUUUAGUAUGGGGGCAAUGGCGUCAGCCGACCCAACUUGCCUAUUAUAUUUUUGGUUAAUACUAUUAUUAUUCAUGCAAUGUGACCUCACAUAUAUGAUAUUAUCGUUUUUAUAUAGUCAAUUUAGUACACUACAAUAAAUAUAAAUUAAUAAGACUAAUUUAUAAUGUUAAUGAGUAUCUUAAAAACAUCGACUAAGAAACCAAAAUAAGUAAUUUUGUAUAAAAAAUAUUAUAAAGGUUCCGUUGACACCAGGUGUCAAACUUUAAUUUGACAUCAAAUCUUGUCCAUUUAUUUUUAUUGAUCUAAAGGUUCAUAUUUAUUUACUUAAAAUUUCACAUGAUCAUUACUUUCCCAAAUCAUAGCAAAUUAGUUACUCUCUUUUAUCAUCUCCUUCUAAGGAGAAUAAUUGUUCUUUUUUUUUUUUUUUCNNNNNNNNNNNNNNNNNNNNNNNNNNNNNNNNNNNNNNNNNNNNNNNNNNNNNNNNNNGAGUAAUUGUUCUUAAUUGAAAAUGGUCGUGGUUUGGGAGUUAUAAGGAUAGCUUGGUGGCUAAGGUAAAUGAGAGGGAGUGAAGUGAUAAGAAUGUUCUUAAAUUAGUACAAUGUUUACAAACAAUGAAAUUGUACUUUUUCUUAAAUAAAAUAAUUAGUGAUAAGAUGUUGAUAUAUUUUUUUUAAGAUAAAGUCUUCUACUCCUAACACUACAAAAAAUAAGCAUUUUGCGACAAUUCUAUUGCGACCACUUAAAUAUGUGAAUUUCUUAAGACAUUUGCAACAAUUCAUACGACGGUUACUACAACCAUCGCAAUGUUUUGUUCUUAAAUUUCACUUUACCGCCUUGUGAAAUCAUAUUUAAUUGAUUUAAUUAAAAAUAAUAAUAAAACAGGAAAAAUGCCAAAAAUUCGAGUAGCAAGGAUCAAAUCGACUACCUCUUACAACAUGAGUGUCUCAUUAGUCACUCGUCUACUUAUUCUAUCUUGCUAUUUUACGCUCCAACUAAUAUAUAUUUAUAUAGUAUAACUAGUAAUUUUAUUAAGACACCUUGGGUAUAAUAGUAAUUUCCUUUUUAUUUGGGGUGGGUCAUGGUCCAGCCAUGGCACCCCUAGCUCCGCUACUGGAUACAAUGGCCAUUUUACACUUCAACUUUCUCUCAAUGGUUAAUGCAUCCCUUACUUAAGUAUACGUUAAUUUCUUACUUAGGAUUCGUUAUACCAAUUUCGAUCAUUACACUAAUUAUUAGUCUUUUUUCAAAGUGUGUUUAGUAGUAGCAUAUUUCUUUAUGAUCUUGAGCACUUGAACAUACUUUAGGUUCCCCAAUUGUUUUCUUAUAUAUUGUUUUCAUCAAAACUUCAGAGUAAUUGUUCAUAAACCACUUUUGGUUUAACACUAUAUUUAACUAUUAUAAAGAAAUUUCAAAAAAAAAAAACUAUUAUAAAGAAAUAAAGAAAUCAAUUUCCAUACAUAUGUAAUAUAAUUACAGUAAAAAAAUAAUAUAAUAAAUAAAUAAAAAAAGAUUAUCAGAAUAAAAAAAUUAAAAAUAAUUGUUACUUUAACAAAUUAAUUUAUUUACAAAAUUAUGAUUUUAUUGACAAGAAAAAAAUUAUGCUUUCCUUUUUAAAUUAUACUUUCUUUUAUCCUUUUUAUAAGAGAUCAACAAUUUACUUUUCUGAAUUCAUUAAAUAAAUAAUGAAUUUGGUCAAUAUUAUAGACCAAAUACAUUAUUUAUUAAAUAAAUCUUGGAACGUAAACUGUAUCUUUUAAAAAAGACCGCAUGGAGUAAUAUUUUUUAAUUAACAUAAAUAAUAUAUUUUUAAAGUGUUCGUAAUUUCAAUUUCUUGCGUAGUGUUCUUCUCGAUAGAGAAAUAGAUGACUCCGACGAUGAGAAUUGAAACAGUUACGAUGGAGAUACUAUUCCGGUGCGGUGGAUCACGAUGGAGAAAGUACCAAUAACUACGUUAGCCAUCCAAUGGCCAAGUCAGUAUGUGAUCAAGGCGGAGUGAAAGUGAAAAGUGAUUGAGUUGUGUUCCAUGGCGUCAAAACUUGCCUUUAUAUAAGGGGAUUUAAAAAAAGAGAGUCACGUGCGUGCUAAGCCACGUCCCAAUAUGAACGAGAAUAUACACACAAAAUUCAUAGAGGAUCUUAUAUUUAGCAAACUUUUUUUUUUUGGUAAAACGGUCUUAUAAACAGGAAUGGAGGGAGUAUUAAAAUUGGCAAAAGAACGUCACUUUUUUACAUUGAAUUAUAUACCUAAUAAACCAUGAAAAAUCCGAUUUGACGAAAAAGGGAAUCACGCGCGUGCUAAGCCACGUACCAAUAAGCGUGAGGAUAUACACACAAUAUUUGGCUAUAAAUUACCCCUCCACACCUUAUUUCAAUGUGUCAUUUCUUAAUCUAAAGUCACAAACACAUCCUCCACCCUUUAGUUCUUCCUUUUCUCUUUCUGUAAUUUAGUCAUGUCAAACAGUAGGAGAAGUUUAGGUCGCCAAAAGAUUGAGAUGAAAACGAUGAGUAAUGUGAGCAACCUGCAAGUGACAUUCUCGAAGCGCCGUAGCGGGCUCUUCGAGAAAGCUUGUAUGAUUUGUACUCUUUGUGAUGUAGAUGUUGCUCUCAUUGUAUUUUAACCUGUUGAGAAAGUGUUUUACUUUGACCACCCAAAUGUCGAUUUGGUCAUAGAUCUUUAUCUCUCGUGGGUCUUGCUUCAAAACAAUGGCACGAUGUCAUUCAUUGAGNNNNNNNNNNNNNNNNNNNNNNNNNNNNNNNNNNNNNNNACAAAAUACAACCAGAGCAACAACUGCACCAUAAAGAGUGAAAAGCUCAUUAGAAGUGCCCGAUACGACACUUCGAGAAAGUUACUUGCAGGUUGCUCUCAUUGUUCAUCUUUUUCAUCUCAAUCUUUUUGUGACCUAGAUUUUUCAUGCUGUUUGACAUGGCUGAAACACAAAAAGAGAGAAGGGAGAACUUAAGGGUGGAUGUGUUUGCGACUUUAGAGUAAGAAAUGACGCAUUGAAAUGAGAUGUGAGGAUAAUUUUAAUGUCAAAUUUUGUGUAUCUUCUCACUCAUAUUGGGAUGUGGCAUAACACGUAUGUGAAUCUCUUUUUCAUCAAAUUUGAUUUUUCAUGGUUUGUAUGGUAUGUAAUUCAAUGUAAAAAAGUGGCACUCUUUUCUUUUGCCAAUUUGUAUAUCCAUGUUAUUACUAAUAAAAAAAUCAUUUUUACUUUUAUAUGGUAAACUCAUUUUAUUAUUUUAUACGAUAAUUUCUCCUCAACUCAUUCAUUAUGGUCAAUUCCUAAAAUAAAGGUGAAAAACAUAAAAAUUAAAAGGCUUAAUUGCACAUUUGGUCCCUUAUCUUUAUUUUAGGUUUUAAGUUGGUCUCUUAUUUUUUAAAAGUUUCAAAUUGGUCCCUUAUCUUUUCUUUUGUUUAAUAAGUUAGUUCCUCCCAUCAUAUUUUUUACUAACGCCGUUAGAUGUGGACAUGUGGCAAACGGUGAUGCACACUUGGACAAACACGUGGAUUUUUUUGCCAUAUCAUUUGCCACAUCAUUUUCUUUUAAUUUUUAAAUUAAAAAUAAAUAAAAAACAAAACUAUUUUUUUUUAUUAAAACUAAAUCUUUUUUAUAAUAUUGCACCUUCGCAAUUUUCCCCUAUUUUCUCGCGGCUCUAGCUCGAGUAACAACCGUUUUCUCAACCUCAUUCUUUCUCUUCUCUUCUUAGUUUCCGAUUGAUUCGGCGACGUUGGAGCAAACCAGGGCCGGCCCAACAUAAUGUGGGGCAUGAAGCGGUCAUUAAUAUGAGGCCUAACAUAAAAAUGUAUAUUUUUUAAGCAAAAAAAUAUUGUACGAAAGAAAAACGUAAAAUUUAUAUUUAAAAAUAAAUAAAUAAACAAUUUUUGGUAAGAAAGUUAAAAAUAUAUCAAUUAUAUUUAUAAUAAAAAUAAAAUACAUAUUAGAAAAUACUUUUAUAAUAUGAACAAAAUAAAAAAUAUUAUUUUUAUAUUGCAUAAAAAAUAUUGUUUUUAUUGCAUAAUUAAUAUUUUUUUGAAAAAACCAAAAUGAGAUAUAUUAACAAAAAAGCCUACUCAGCACAAGACGUGCCAAGAUAGACCAGAGUUUACAAAAAAUCACAAAAAGAAAUACAAACAAUCAUACAAGGCCCAAAUAUAGUAAAAGACUAGACCACCAACUAUGGUAGUUUAAGAUUAAGGUAACACUUGUCGUCUUCAACCACUUAUAAGAAAAAAGCUUGAUCUUGUCCAACAACUGAUGAAGAGUACUGUCUGAGCCUCUGAACAACCUGUGAUUUCUUUCUGUCAACACAACCCAUAUGCUAGCAACUUAUUUGUUUAAUUCAUUUUAAUUUAUUUAUUUCAUUUUCAUAAUUUUUUGAUUAUUUAAGUUUAUCUAUAUUUCAUAUUCAAUAUUUAGGCUGUAUGUAAUUAAAUUUAAAUAAAAUAUUAAAAAAAUUGUUAAGAAUAAAUUGGUACAAAAAAUAAAAUAAAACUAAAAGUAGUAGUUAUAUUUUGUAUUUUCAUUUUAUAUUAUGGUAUAGACCAAUAACUUUUGUAAUUUGUUUGAAUUUGAAUAAAUAAUGUUCUCUUUGUUUUUUUAAGCAUAAAUAAAUAAUAUUCUCUAAACAAUUAGAACAUUACUUACCAAACAAAAAAUAUAUUAGAACAUUAUCUAUAACAAUAUAUAAAAAGGAUAGGUGAAUUUGGACUGGAUUUUUUAUAUUGUUCAAAUUACCCUUCAUUUUAAAUUCAAAUAAUUCAAUGGUUCUUUCUUAUUAAGGUCUUCCAACCAGGCGCGGAAAAAAACUGACUUUGGCAAGGAUCGAACACAGAUCCUGCCAAUAUCAAAAUGAUGCAUUCAAACAAAUGGACUACAUGGAUUGUAGUGAUUUGUAACGGAGGCUUACAUAUAUAAAUUUGUUUUUGGGCCUAAACCCUACAUUAAAAAAUAUAAAAAAAUUUGGGGCCUAAAGCUAGGGCUUGGGCCGCUUUACCUUUUGGCCGGUCCUGGAGCAAACAAAACCUUAACUGGAAAUUUUUUUUUUACCCCAACAAUCUUCAUUCUAUCCCAACAUAUUUUUCAAAAUACUCAUUAUACCCUUAUAAAAAAUUAGUAUAUUUUAAUAUUUUUUAAUUUUGUCGUAUUAUAUUGUUCCGGUAGACUGUUCAUCCUCCCAAAAAACUGUUCCGGUAAGUAUUUAUCUUUACCGGUAUGUUAAUUUUACUAGCACACUUUUUAACAAGUGUUCCGAAAUGCAAAAUUUACCGGAAUACUCUUUAAAAAGUGCACCGGUUCGUUUCGUUUAUCGUUAUACAUACCAGAACACUUUGUCAAAGUGUUCCGGUAGUUUAAAGUGUUCUGGUAUGCUAAUAAGUGUACCGGUAUGUAACAACGCAAAAAGUGUUCCGGUAUUUAACAAGUGUAUCGGUAUGUUAAUAUCAAUAAUUUUAAUUUUAAUUUGUUGUUAUAUUUUUAAACAGAUAUGACUUAUCUCGGCGUUACAAGUCAAAUAUUGGUAGAUACUACAUAUGUUUUUACAACUGAUCAAAAAUUUGCUACACUAGAUGUUGGAGAUGCCAACAAAGUCGGUAUUAUCAUUACUCGGUCGGAUAAAAAGAACGGAAUAAGAGGAAGAAAUUACAAGUUAAUUUUGGGUUGUGACAAAGGUGGAAAGUAUGACUCUUCAGAAAGUUCCAUGACAACUGCAUCUAAAAAGUGUUACUGUCCAUUCAAAAUUAGAGUCGCACCUUCAACAGAUGGUUCAGGAUGGAAAGUUCAGGUUAUUCAUGGAGUUCACAACCAGGGCUACCUGACCAAUAUCAUGGUCAUCCUCGCAAGGCACGUUUAACCGCUGAUGAAAACAAACUUGUUGAAGAUUUGAAAAAGCGUCAUGUAGCACUAAGGCACAUCGUUUUAGAUUUGAAAGAUCAAAAUUCAGAGUCUGUUGUUGAUGCCAAGCAUGUAUAUAGGAAAAGACACAUGAUGCAAAAAUAGGAAAGAUGCUCCAGAACAGGGUUGCAACACUUGCUGCAGAUGAUGCAAAAUAUGUCAGCUAGAAUAGAAGAAAAGAUGAUGGCUCCGAUGUUUUGAGUGAUAUUUUUUGGGCGCAUCCAAAUUCAAUCAAGUUGUUGAACUUGUUUCCCAUUGUUUUGGUUAUGGACUGCACAUACAAAACUAAUAAAUAUAGACAGCCACUGCUUGAAAUUACUAGCAUAACGUCAACUAACAUGACAUUUGCUGAGAAGACGAACAAUUAUCAUUGGGCGUUAGGGAAGCUGGAAUUGCUUACUAAGCAAGAUAUAUAUUUCCUAAACUAAUUUUGACCGAUAGGGAGUUUGCUUUGAUGAAUGCAAUUAAAGUUAUAUUUCCACAUACUGUUAAUAUGCUUUGUACGUGGCACAUAAUCAAAAAUGUGAAUACGAGAUGCACCCUGCAUAUACCUAAGGAUAUGCGACAAAAGGUGAAAAAUUUGUGGAAAAAUGUUGUUGAAAGUCCAUAUGAGGUGGAGUAUUAGCAGCGGUUGAAUGCGUUUCAGCAAGCAUAUGUUAAUUCAAGCAAGUUUGUUGACUAUGUCAAUAACACCUGGUUGACCCCUCACAAAGAACAAUUUGUUGCAGCAUGGACCAAUCAAGUGAUGCAUUUAGGAAACACAACGACUAAUAGGUAUGAUUUUGUCUUUUUCAAAAUUGUAAUUAUAUUUUUAUUUUAUUUUUGCGUUUAAUUUACUGUUGUUUGCAAUUUGAUAUUUUGAGCUGAGUCUGCAAUUAGAAACUGAAGCAAAUGUUGGAACACAGCAAAGGCGAUUUAUGCAAGUGUUUGGAAGCCAUGAAUAACAACAUAAUACUAGAAGUUGACAAAAUUAAAGUGUCAUUUCAAAAAUGUUUUUACUAUGCAAAGAAGACACACAACAAUCUAUUUUUUCAAAAUUUGAGAAACUUUGUCUCCAGGACCGCUAUGACAUUAAUUUCUGAUGAGAUGAAGAGAAUUGGCAUUGUUGGAACAAAUAAAAACUUUUGUGGUUGCAAACUUAGGUCAACAAGUGAGUUGCCUUGUACUUGUGAAUUGGGUGGGUAUACAACCAGCGGUGUAUCGAUACCAUUAGAUUCAGUUCACAGUUACUGGAAGAAAUUGACUAUGGAAGAACCACUAGAGAAUGACACGGAGCAUGAAUAUGAGUUGGACAUGAGUCAUGCAAUGGAGGCAAUAUGGACUCAAUAAGUGGCGUAGAGCGGUGGCGACAAAGGACAGAAGCAGCGGUGAAUAAGUGGACGGUGGAAAAUCAUGGGAUGAGUGGUGGUCGCUGGUGGAUUGGAUUUUUUUUUAUUGCAACAGUGAGGAAGAAAUAUGGUACAAACAAAUUUACGAUAAGCUCACUUUCCCACCAUGGGAGACCUACUAAUAGUGUCCCAUCCUAGAAGGCGCCGUCAAAGGGACAAUAUUAUGAUUUUUCUCCCUACACUAACGACAAUAACUCUCAUCAUUAAUUAGGAGUUGUCAACUUGUCAUGAGUGUUGUUUGGUAUGGAUUGAGUGCUACCAUUUUUUUAAAGGAGAAUGUUAACAUAUGCCCUAAAGAUACAUGUUAAGAAGAUAAAUAUGGUAAAUAUUAANNNNNNNNNNNNNNNNNNNNNNNNNNNNNNNNNNNNNNNNNNNNNNNNNNNNNNNNNNNNNNNNNNNNNNNNNNNNNNNNNNNNNNNNNNNNNNNNNNNNNNNNNNNNNNNNNNNNNNNNNNNNNNNNNNNNNNNNNNNNNNNNNNNNNNNNNNNNNNNNNNNNNNNNNNNNNNNNNNNNNNNNNNNNNNNNNNNNNNNNNNNNNNNNNNNNNNNNNNNNNNNNNNNNNNNNNNNNNNNNNNNNNNNNNNNNNNNNNNNNNNNNNNNNNNNNNNNNNNNNNNNNNNNNNNNNNNNNNNNNNNNNNNNNNNNNNNNNNNNNNNNNNNNNNNNNNNNNNNNNNNNNNNNNNNNNNNNNNNNNNNNNNNNNNNNNNNNNNNNNNNNNNNNNNNNNNNNNNNNNNNNNNNNNNNNNNNNNNNNNNNNNNNNNNNNNNNNNNNNNNNNNNNNNNNNNNNNNNNNNNNNNNNNNNNNNNNNNNNNNNNNNNNNNNNNNNNNNNNNNNNNNNNNNNNNNNNNNNNNNNNNNNNNNNNNCACCUCCCUUUUUGCUUCCUGAUCCGAUCCAAUUCUUUAUUAGCAUUUAUUUUGUAACUUAUAAAUUAUUUGGUAGUUUCCGGACAUUUCUGAAAUACAUAAAAAUAAUAGUAAUAAUACUACGAAAAAUGUAAAGAAAUAGUAGAAUACUAACCUAAUUUUAUUAAAUAAAUAGUACAUUUUUCGGUGUUAUCAAAAAUCAUGGAAUGAGUGGUGAAAGAAAUAUGGUACAAAAAAAUUUACGAUAAGCUCACUUUCCCACCAUGGGAGACCUACUAUAGUGUCCCAUCCUAGAAGGCCCCGUCAAAGGGACAAUAUUAUGAUUUUUCUCCCUACACUAAAGACAAUAUAUAUUUUGAUUAUUGUCUCAUCAUUAAUUAGGAGUUGUCAUGAGUGUUGUUUGGUACGGAUUGAGUGCUACCAUUAUUUUUUUAAAGGAGAAUGUUAACAUAUGCUCUAAAGAUACAUGUUAAGAAGAUAAAUAUGAUAAAUAUUAAAUGUUAACUUGUGAAUUCAAGAAAUACUUGACAUGGUCACCUUAUACAUGAAUUUCUUAAUACAAUUUGCAUGAAGUUUUAACUAUUAAACACAAUUUCAAUUAUGGGAGAAACUAACCCAAUGAUGUUACCAGUUGCAAUUGCAUAUACUACAUUGAAGGUAUAAUUCGCUAAUAAUGAUAUCCAACGACUCUUUUUAUUCUUAACAGGAUAACCAACAACAGUACCGGUUUGUGCAUCAUUUUCCUCCGUUAUCAUCUUCAAAAUAAUCGGAUCAAAUACACUUGAAAGAAUGCUUCGAAAAUGCUCAAAAUCAUGUUUUUCGGCAGUAUCAUUAACAUCAAGCCACAAUAAAACCAAAUCAAUUUUUUUAUUGAUCUCUUUCUUGUCUUUAGAAGAAAGAUUUGAUCCAAUCUCCUUAUCAUUUAUAACUUUCCUCAUAUUGGAUGCAUAAGUCUCCAAUGCAUUUCUUGCGUCUACCUUCUUCUGAUACCUCUUUUCGUCAUCUUUGCACUUCUCAGCUUCUUUGAUCAUCCUCUCAAUUUCCUCCUUUGAAAGUCUUCCAUUGUCACUUAUUAUUUUAACCUUCAUGUUAACCCCGGACAAUUUUUCCAAGGCAGAGACGUGUAAGAUGCCAUCAUCAUCAAUUUGGAAGCUGACCUUGAUUUGAGGAAGACCUACCGGAGCUGGAGGAAUUUCCAACACAAAUUUUCCUAGCAAGUUGUUGUCUCUAGUUGUUUGUCUCACACCCUCAUAAACAUGAAUUAGAAUAUUGGUUUGGUUGUUAAAAUGAGUCGUGAAGACGUGCUCCAUGUUCGUAGGAAUUUUGGUAUUCCUAGGAAUUAUUAUUUCCAUGAUUCCCCCGUGAGUAUCCAAUCCAAGAGACAAAGGAAUAACUUCCCUGAAUAGCAAAUCUUGCACCUUUUCACUAAACUCACCACUCAAUAUCGAAGCUUGGACCACAGCACCAUGUGCAACUGCCUCAUCUGCAUUUAUGCUUUUGCAUAAAUUUUUCCCUUCAAAGAAGUCACUCAAUAGUUGUUGCACUUUUACAAUCCUAGUAGAGCCACCAACAAGGACAACAUCAUGAAUGCUACUCUUCUCCAUCCUACUCUCUGCGAAACAUUUUUCUACAAUCUCCAUGCACUUGUCGAAAUGACAUUCGUUGAGUUCCUCAAACUUUGCGCGACUAAUUGUUGAGUGGAAGUUUAUAUCUUUAUGUAAAUAUUCUAUGUCAAUGGUGGUGUUGGUAUUGGAAGAAAGUAUCCUCUUUGCUUUCUCACAAGCAGACUUUAACUUCCUCACGGCUCGUGGGUCUCCACUAAUGUCAAUUUUAUGCUUCCUCAAGAAUUCCUUCACAAAAUGUUUCACCAUUGUAUUAUCAAAGUCUUGUCCCCCGAGGUGAGUAUCUCCACCAAUGGCCUUAACUUGGAUAUCAUCCGUGUCAAAUGUGAGAAUAGACACAUCCAAUGUACCACCACCUAAAUCAAAAACGAAAACAUUUCUAUAUUGAUGAUUAAAUUUAAACGGUUUCAUGUUAAGGCCAUAUGCAAUUGCUGCUGCAGUAGGCUCAUUGAUUAUUUGCUUAACAUUCAUGCCUGCAAUUUCACCUGCAUCUCUAGUAGCUUGACGUUGUGAGUUAUCAAAAUAAGCAGGAACUGUUAUAACAACAUCCUUCACUUUUGAUCCAAGGUAAGCUUCUGCAAUCUCACGCAUUUUUCUCAAUACCAUGGAUGAGAUUUCCUCAGCAGCAAAUUGUUUUUCUUCUCCGUUGUAAUUGACAACAAUCAUGGGUUUGUCAUCGAGACGGCCAAUUACUUUAAAUGGCCACAAUUUCAUAUCAUUUUGAACUAUAGGGUCACUAAACCUCCUACCAAUUAGCCUCUUAGCAUCUACAAAACAAACAGGAGUAGUGUGCACUGUAUGAAACAUCCGAUCGAUGAUCAUCAUAUAUACUCCCUCCGGUCCUUUUUAUAAGGAACACUUAGGACAAAAAAAUUGGUCAUUUUUAUAAGAAACUUUGACCAAUUUUCAAAUGUUUUAAAUGUUUAAUUUCACUUAUGCCCUUAUUUAUUAUGAGAGAGAAUUUAAAAAUAAGUAAGUUAGUUGAAUAAAGAGUAAUUAAAUAAGGGUAUACAUGGAAUAAAUUUAAAUUUAUAAGAGUAUUAAAUGAAAAUAACUAUGUUAAAUGUGCUUCAUUGGUCUGUGUGAUUUUUUUAAAGUGUUCUUUAUAAAAAGGACCGGAGGGAGUAUAUAUAAAUAAGCGAUAACUCUAAUUAAUUAUAUUGGGAUUUUGAUUAUUAAUCAAUUAUUUGCACAAUAGAUCCUUUGUAACAAAUAACGUAAUCAAUAUUAAUUACACACAUAUGAUUUAACACAAGUUCAAUUUAAUUUGGUUUCUCUUUUUCCGCAUUCUCUCUAUUUAUGACUUUUGAUUCGUUAACAUCAUAUGUCAAACUUUUUGGUCACUAUUUGUAGGAGACAAAUUAAAUCAAUCCAACCGUUAAAUUUAAAUUUUCCGUUAGGUAGAACAAGUGACUCAUAAAAAAUUGGGUAAAUGAUUGUUUAUCCCUCGUAAAGUUAGCAAAAUUUGAUUUACCCUCUGUGCAAUUUUUUUUCUGGUUAUCCCUGCAAUAUGAAGAUUUUAUAAUUUUGCCCCUGCCCCCUCAUUAAAUAGAAAAAAAAUUGUGCGGGGUAAAUCAAAUUUGGCUAACUUUUCGGAGUAAACAACCAUACCCUAAAAAAUUUAUAGAAUUUAAAAGCUAUUUAAAUGAAAAAUGCUAAGAAAUAUAGUAAUAUUUACCGAAGACAGUGUUGGUUGGGUUGUAAGCAGCCUUGUUGAAAGCAGGAUCACCAAUCAUCCUUUGAGAGUCGGUGAAGGCAACAUAAGAAGGUGUUAUUCUGUUCCCUUGCUCGUUAACUAUGAUCUCUAACUGAUCAUUCCUCCACACAGCAACACAAGAAUAUGUUGUUCCUAGGUCGAUUCCUAUUGCAACUUUCUUACUUGUUCCUGCCAUUUUAAAUGUCUUGUAAUUUUGAGAGAAGGAAAAGAAAUACUAAAGAUGAGAAUAAACAGUUAUUAUUUAGGUAAGUAUAUAUAGGCUUGUUGUUAUAUGCACUUCCACUCAAUUUAUUAAGUUCGUGAUUGGCUGCUUGACUUGUACAAUUAUCUUUCUUUUUUGACAAUCGUACAAAUAUUAUCAUUUUCAAUAUUGGAACAAUUGAUCAACUUGUUAA
Molecule: long non-coding RNA, 26078 nt
Filed under: Trifolium pratense (red clover)
Lineage: Eukaryota; Viridiplantae; Streptophyta; Magnoliopsida; Fabales; Fabaceae
Description: long non-coding RNA (TPRA_LNC000555)
Source: RNAcentral